Molecule: ribosomal RNA, 427 nt
Filed under: uncultured bacterium
Lineage: Bacteria
Description: partial 16S ribosomal RNA
Rfam family: Bacterial small subunit ribosomal RNA
Source: RNAcentral
GUGGGGAAUAUUGGGCAAUGGGGGAAACCCUGACCCAGCGACGCCGCGUGAGGGAAGAAGGCCUUAGGGUCGUAAACCUCUGUUGUGUGGGAAGAAGAGCGUGACGGUACCACACGAGGAAGUCCCGGCUAACUACGUGCCAGCAGCCGCGGUAAUACGUAGGGGACGAGCGUUGUCCGGAUUUACUGGGCGUAAAGGGCGCGUAGGCGGUCAUUUACGUCAGCGGUGAAUUGGUUUGGCUUAACCGGAUCAUGCGGUGGAAACUGGAUGACUGGGAUGCUGGAGAGGCAAGUGGAAUUCCCAGUGUAGCGGUGAAAUGCGUAGAUAUUGGGGAGAACACCGGGGGCGAAGGCGACUUGCUGGCCAGCAACUGACGCUGAGGCGCGAAAGCCAGGGGAGCAAACGGGAUUAGAAACCCGGGUAGUCC